RNAcentral lists this ribosomal RNA (503 nucleotides) under uncultured bacterium. RNAcentral describes it as "bacterial SSU rRNA". It matches the Rfam family "Bacterial small subunit ribosomal RNA", at positions 975 to 1482 of the family's 1533-position model. The record is from RNAcentral.
CUACCCUUGACAUGCCUGGAAUCCUGCAGAGAUGUGGGAGUGCCCGAAAGGGAGCCAGGACACAGGUGCUGCAUGGCCGUCGUCAGCUCGUGUCGUGAGAUGUUGGGUUAAGUCCCGCAACGAGCGCAACCCUUGUCAUUAGUUGCUACGAAAGGGCACUCUAAUGAGACUGCCGGUGACAAACCGGAGGAAGGUGGGGAUGACGUCAGGUCAUCAUGGCCCUUAUGGGUAGGGCUACACACGUCAUACAAUGGCCGGUACAGAGGGCUGCCAACCCGCGAGGGGGAGCUAAUCCCAGAAAACCGGUCGUAGUCCGGAUCGCAGUCUGCAACUCGACUGCGUGAAGUCGGAAUCGCUAGUAAUCGCGGAUCAGCAUGUCGCGGUGAAUACGUUCCCGGGUCUUGUACACACCGCCCGUCACACCAUGGGAGCGGGUUCUGCCAGAAGUAGUUAGCCUAACCGCAAGGAGGGCGAUUACCACGGCAGGGUUCGUGACUGGGGUG